Molecule: transfer RNA, 66 nt
Filed under: Peruphasma schultei
Lineage: Eukaryota; Metazoa; Arthropoda; Insecta; Phasmatodea; Pseudophasmatidae
Description: tRNA-Ser
Source: RNAcentral
AGCUUUUAAGUUUUUAAAACAUAUAUUUUGAAAAUAUAAAAAAGAAGUUGAAACUUCUAUUAGCUU